CAUAGCCAAGCCAGAUACACAAACACACAUGUAUAGCUUUCAAGGUCAAUCGAGAAAGAGAGUCCAAUCGCAAAUUGACGUGUCUUGGAUUUAUCGACGAUGCAACGGAUUUUCUUCCGUUCACGGAGGAUUGCAAGUUCAGUGGUAUAACAUAUUUCUUAGAUAUAUCUUAACAAGUAUACCGAACAAAGUACACGAUUUAUCAUCGGAGAUAUUUCGAAAUAAAAGAACAAUAAACGUCGAGAAAUAUUCCGACAAUUAUGCUAUGAUCAUCGAACGUUUUGUUCAUGAUUUGUUUGCGCAAUCGAAUAAUAUCAAACAUUUCUAAUAUUAUUGAGAAGUAUAGAAAAAAAGAAAGAAAAAACAGAGAACGAAAAAAAAAAGAGAAAAAGAAUCUCAAUAAUUUGACUUUUUCCGAAUAUGAAACUUUGUGCAACGAAUCCAAUGAUAUUUUUCAUCGACAGAUAUCUCUCGAAUGAAUCAUACAAAAUACCAUAUUCUCUUUCUCUUUACUCAACAAAAUGACGAGACAAACAGCGAGAGAGAGAGAGAGAGACAUAAUUCGAUUAGAGGCCGAGCAUAUUGGAAGCAGCAAGCUGCUCAUUUUACCACGUUACAUAAGAAACCGUAACGGGAGAGCACUGUUAAUGGUUACUUCUUAUUGUCGAAGAAGAGAGUUGUCCUGAAACAACAUAGUUUUCAUACUAUAUCGAAUGCAAGUUAUUCUUAAAAUAGGAAAAAAAUAAAAAAAACAACAAAUCUUUAUUUAUGUGACUUCGUGGUAAGUCAUGACUGACCUUGGUUUUAUUACGUAAAAUAAAGUAGAUAAACUAAUAUACGCACGAAUACCAAGUAAAAAAAAAGGAAAAGAAAAAAAAAAUAAUAUUUACAAGUUGAAGAGAGACAAUCAUCUAACGAUUGUUAUAAAAAUAAAUUCAUGAUUACUUAAGAGAGAACUUCCUUUAGAAGCACAAAAUGGCCGCAUUAAAGUCUUUAGAAAAAAAUAAAUAAAUAAUAGUCAAUGUUGUUGAUUUAAGAUCGACUCUGCAUAAACUGUAAAUCUUCUGUUACGGCAACGAUGAUGUAACACAACGCAUUCGCUAUGCAUCCGUCGUCUCUUCAAAGAAACGUAAAAUACCGAGCGUGGAGAAUUAGAGUCAGAGUUAGAGUCAGAGUUAGAGUUAGAAUUAGAGUUAGAGUUAGAGUUAGAAAGAGGAGGAAGGCUGAAGUUGAAUCUGAAACGGUGCACAUCAUUUAUCGGUACUCUGUGAAAUCUCGGUCAAAUCGUUUUCCAUUACUAUAGAACUAUAACAGAAUAGCAGCGACAGCAUCUCGGAACUUCGUUAAGAUA
Molecule: long non-coding RNA, 1351 nt
Organism: Vespa crabro (European hornet)
Lineage: Eukaryota; Metazoa; Arthropoda; Insecta; Hymenoptera; Vespidae
Exons: 2
Source: RefSeq, a predicted model, not a curated record